AUACGAACCAGGGCUAUUGCAUUAAAGCUCACAUAAAUUGAAGCUGUUUUGUCCACUUUCUAAAAUAUAUCAACAAAAAUGUUGUCAAAAAUAUGUAAGUUAAAAAAUAAGCACAUCCUUCAAUAAUAUAAGUGAAUGAAUUACAUUGAUUUAAACACUACAACUUCUGUACUUUUUAAUUGUCCUCUGGGGUAAAUAAUGCUUAAAAGUAUUAUAAUAGAGAAUCUUUUGAGCUUAAAUUUUGCUGAUACCAUAUCCUUAGGAAGGCUGAUAGUUUAAAAAUCACCAGAUGAAAUUUACCUAUAUGUUCUGCAGAUGUCACGGACUCUCAGAAAGAUGAAGGUAACCAUUUGCUCAUCAUGAUUAAACAAAUGAACAAAUGAACCUCGGUUUAUUAAUAGAGAAAAAUUUAUAUUCUAAGAUAUAUUUCAUUUAUUUUUAAAUUAUUAUAAAUUUAUUUUUAAAAAUAAAAUUCAGUAUUUUCUUUUCUUUUUUAAAAUCUUCUUUCCUAUUAGGUAUCUUACUUUUACUUUUCUGACCAAUUUAUUUCCAGAAACUUCAAAAUCAGAGGCAUCAAUGUUCCCUUUUUACAGAGUGCCUUUAAUCCCAAAAGGACAUUCCUGUUCUUUAGGUUCUAUCUCUCCUAUAUCAGUCACUAAUCUAAGCAUUUAACUUUCAGUUGUGUAAAAACACUGAUUGAUCUGGACACCCUUCCCCCCAAACUACCACAUUUCAGCCUGAAAACAUUUAAUAACACCAUGCUCUAGACAUCAAUGACCAAUGGCUCAGCAAUAGUAUGUGGGCUUUGGUCUAUCUUCUCCUCCAAAAAAUUAAGACUAUUUGCUUUGUUUCAAUGAUUCAUCAUAUUAUUGAGAUUUUAUUAUUUCUGCAUAAAAAUAUUGAGUCAAAACAAUAAGUUCAUCUUCAAUAAUAGAAAAAAGAAAACCUAGACAGAGUCAAGCAGAAGAGGUCCAUAUUUGGCAGUUAACAUAGAUUUUACCACAAGAGAUAGAAAAGAGUCAUGGCUCUUAUAUUGUACCUUGUUUUUUCAAAUCAAUAUGCUAUUGUAUUCUAAGCCAAACAAUAAAUCUCAUCCUUAGCUUUGUAAAACAGAUUUGCUUUUAAUCCAUUUUCUAUUGGGGAAAUAAGAAAUAUACAGAAAUAAAACAUGGGGUAUAGUCCUCUUUUUUGUUUUGUUUUGCUUUAAUUUAUAGAUGCUCCUUAUCUAUCCACCUAGAGCCCAGGAGCAUGCUGUGUUACAAUUGUGUGCCUCACAGAAGCAAACUAGCAAAAAGAUGAAACCAUAUGUAAGAGGUUUUUCUAAGAGGAGAAGAAAAACACAAUUUUCUUAAAGUCGAAGAGGCUUAGCUGCUAUGGAAGUCUUUAAUACAGAGAACUGAGCUCCAAGACUAUACUUUCUUAUUCUUUAAGAACUUACAUAAAAGGCUUUCACUCUUUUGUUUUUUUCUAGCACAAAAAAAACACUUGAAAUAUUUGUAGGUGAUCCCUAGAGAUGUAUUUCGGGCACCGUAUAUGUGUAAGUAGUUUUUUGGAACUUUAUAUUAGUGUAUUAGUAUAAAUAUCCUCAAUGAUGAUAUGGCUGAACUUGUAGUCUUAUUUUAGCAGUGAGAAGAAAAAGGUUUACCAAAGAAAGAACAAAUAAUUAUUUUGGUUUGUUUACUAAUGCGGAAGAAGAGAAAGGAUAAGAAUUAUAAAUGGGGGAAUAAUAGGAACAAAGCAAACUAGUGGAUUUUGUUCUAUUAAAGUGUAGUCUGCAAGUAGUUUGAAAGGAGGUAUAGGUGACUGGUGAAGGCUAAUGAAGACAGGUAAGCAUAGAAAAGAUUAUGACUUGCUCAGAGGGCCAUGAAGACAGUUUAAAAAAGGAUUUUUAAUUAGGUAGUAUUAUAAGCAUUGGUAUUUGAAAAAGUCAUUGUUAACACAGAGUACAGAAAUGAUUAAAAAGAGUUGGAAGAUAUUUUAGUAAUACAAACAUGAUAUGUUAACAGUAUUAACUGAGACACAUUGUAGUUAGAUGGACAAAAGUAAGUGUCUUCUAAACUAUUAAGACCGUUGAAAUUAAAUUUGGUGAUCCCUUGGCUAUAGCUGAUAUAGAAGGAGAGAUAAAGGGGCCAUAGGAUUUAAGUUUAGGAAAUAAGGUGAAUUAUAAUGGUGCGCUUCAUUAAGAGGAGAUGAUCUGAAGUGAUAGUCCAAUAACUAGUUCAAACUGUGAUUUUGAGUGUGAGAUGCCAAGGGCUCAUUCAAGGGGAUAUAACAAGAGACUAUUGAAUAUAGAUGCAUUGUUGUGAAAAUCUGCUGAGAGAUCAAGGCUAGGUUUUAUUUUUUUUUCCUAGUGGAAAUUCCUAGAACAUUAAUAGAGUUGAAGCUAAAGUUUCUAAUUUCCUUAUUACCUAGGAGUAGGUAAAUGACCAUGUAGGUAUGAAUAAAAUAAUAGUAUUUAAUCUCAUUUAUAUUCUUUCAUAUUUGCUGCUUUCCUUCCUAAUAUGAAUUUGUAUGUGUUUCUUGCUGUACCUUCCUAAAGCUAUGCUCACAUGCUUGGUAUAAGUUCAUUAUAGGUAUAGAUUUUUUUCAACUCAAUUGCAUAUUGCUUCCUUUAAAUGUGCUUUUCAAAGGCUAUUUGUUGACUAAUCAAUACCCAAUAAACAGGUGUGACUUUUCUCACCAUUACCACACAGUUUCUACUAUAAGUAUCUUUAAUCUUGUUCUGAUUAUCUUCUAAAUAUGCUUAUUGGAUCUUUUUUUUUUGUACAAAAUUGGCUUUUUUUAAUCCCAUUACCUUUUAAUGGAAAUAAUACUAUCUCCUUAUGUGGGGGAGGGAGGUGCUCAGCUUUAAACAAUCUCCAGAUUCAACAAUCAAAAACAUUAUUAAACCCAGACUUAACAGUCAAAAACAUUAUAAAACCUUUCAGUAAACUGUAGCUCAGGAAAUCACAAUUAAUCAAUUUACCUCUAAUAUAACAUAGAAGCAUUUUUAUGCUUGUAACUACCAAUUAGGGUGAUGGAAAGUUCAAGGAACCCAUGAAACCUAGUACUGAGAGAUGACUGUCACUCACCUUUGCACUCUUCUAGCCAUUAAUUUGAUGUUACCUCCUAAAGAUUUAUUUUCUCAUCCAAGUGAUAGGAAAGCAAACUCUUGCUUUUCCAAUCUAAUAAGGCUAUUGUAGAGAUUAAAAUCAAAAUUAAAAAAGGAUUACCUUUCUGAAUGGAUUUGUAAUCUGCAACUGUAAUUAAAUAUCAAAAAAUGUUAUUACAGUGUUCAUUUUGCCUUUGUUUUUGCAAACUUAACAAUUCAUCAGUUUGGUUUGUUUAAUGCAGUUGACGCCUUUCUCACUAUUCAAUUACAUUGACUGAUUAUGACUAACUUUAUUUAAAAACAUUUUAUUUCCUACUCUGCCUACCAUUUUCUCUAUCUCUGGCAACCCUGAUUAGAAUUUGAGCUAUUUCUUUUCCACUGAGUUUCUAGAAUUGGCCUGACAGAACUUUGGUUGGAGGCCAGCCCUUAGCUUCUGCCUUGUAGUAUGUUGAGAGCUUCGAGGUUUCAGAAAGAUAUGCCAACAAAAUAUUUUCAGAAGACAGAAUUAAUAUCAUAAAGAUUCUAGAGAAUUUUGCAUAUUUUCAAAUGCAUUUCUUUAAAUAAACAUUUUUUUCAGUAUUGAUUCCUAGUGCCAUAGAAUUGAGUUCCUGAGGAGGCAAAACAAUCACACUAGUAAAUUAUGUUAGCUAGGCUUAGAAAAUAAAUCGCUACUUGCUUAUAAGCAAAAUAAUUGUUAUAUGUUUUUGACAACAUAAAUAUAAAAUGAAACAGAAUAUUUAACUUUAAAAUAUUCUUCAUAAACACUCAUUAUCACAUUUAAUAGCUUGUAAUAUCUUCUAAUUGUUAAAAUGCUGUGCUGAUUGUUGAAAAUGCAUAGGGCAAACAUACAAAUACCAGCAUGCCUCUAACUGCAAAGUUGUUUUCUCAAACACAAACUUCCUUUGUAAUUAUUCUUUCUGUGCUCAUUUCUAUAGGUAUUGUGCGGUACAAUACAUCAUGCUAAAGGUCUAGUCAUUACCUUGAUGCAUGAGCUUCAUUUUACUGGGUAGAAAGGCAUGGCUGUUAUAGCAAUUUUAAUCAAAUACAUAAUUUAGGCAAGUAUGUAAAAAACAUUUUUUCUACACAUUAAUGUCCUUCUAUGAUGCUGUUUCUAUGUAUGUUAGCGAAUAAAAC
RNAcentral lists this long non-coding RNA (4225 nucleotides) under Sus scrofa (pig). Its description in RNAcentral is "lncRNA (ENSSSCG00000056794.1)". The record is from RNAcentral. Lineage: Eukaryota; Metazoa; Chordata; Mammalia; Artiodactyla; Suidae.